Aphis gossypii (cotton aphid) is the source of this 1421-nucleotide long non-coding RNA. RefSeq lists it as uncharacterized. The record is from RefSeq and is a predicted model, not a curated record. The transcript has 4 exons. Lineage: Eukaryota; Metazoa; Arthropoda; Insecta; Hemiptera; Aphididae.
GGAACUUAAACGGUAUUCCAGCCACUAAACCAUUGAUCAUAAGGUACACUGUUUCAGUAUGCUGUAUCAUACAGUCUGUAUGUCAUAGUUGUUUUAAUAUAAAUAUUUUAUCAUAUGUUUAUAAUUAUAACGAAAAACCGUUCGGCCGCGGCGGUAAAUACGAGUUAAAUAAAUAAAUAAAAUCUCGCGUGAAUGCAUUAUGUUGACUCGUCAGAAUAUAAUAUUUACGAGUGUGUACGAAUGAUGAAGCACAUUAUAUAUUAUUGUAUUGUACGUAGUAUACGUUUGAACGUUUUAUAAAACAAAUCGUAUCUAACUAUAUGUUUUUACCGCUUCUUUUCGGCGCACGCCUACGUCGACACGUGCGAUAGUAUAUUUUCUCGCAGUGUUACUGAGAGUUCACAAAGAGAGUGUUUAUGCUUAACUAUAUAUGAAUAUAAGUAUUUAGUAUAUAUUUGUAUAUUGGUACAACAGCCGUAUACUGAAAUACGUACAACGAACGACAAUGGAGAAUUAUUAAAACGAAAUGCACGGACAGAACAAAUAAACGUAAAUACUAACAAUCAUGGUGUUUCAGAUUUUCUUAUCACCGUCGAAUUAGAAUAAUGAAGUUUAUGAAAUACGUAAAAUAUUUCCUCGAAGACUUUUAGCGCUUAAUAUAAAGAGACAAUAUUAUUCUAUUGAUAUGAACCUAUAACAUCCAGACUUUACUGGAUAAAAGAAUACCAUCUUCACAAGAAACCUCUCUUACGGGAGUGAAUUCCAUGCACAUAGACCAUUGUGCAUUGUAAGCAAACCUUACAGCUUAGCAAGGUGUAUCUCAUCAUGGAUAACUGAGAUUGCAAUAUCGAUUUCAAGUGAUGCUUCGUACGAAAUUUUUGGCGUGAAAUUUGAAAACUAUAAGGAAAAACAAUCAACGUCAUUGUCCGUGGUCCAGCGAUGUGUGGUUUACAAUAGCCAUUUACAUUGUAUGGUGGCGUGUCUUUGAGUAGUCAGCUACUUUGAAAUAAAUAAUAUAUGGAAUAUCGACAUAAUUUAUUGAGUAUGAAGUGAACUAAAGUAACAGAAAUAUUAAAAUGGACGAAAAUGUAUUGCAUGUCGCAUAUUACAUUUUUGUACACUUAUUUUCAAUAACACUUAUUUUCCUAAAACUAUUUAGUUUUUAUUUUUAACUAUUUUUUUACUUUUAGGAAAUAAAAGAACUUAAAUUACAUAUCAUAUUAUCAUGAAAGUAGUUAAAAUUUUUUCUUAAAAGCACUACCGACAUCCGAUUUGUUAUCUCCGUCUUACCAGUGCGAACAUAGCAAAUCUACUCUCAGUAAUUCACAUUUAACUAGGUUCCUUAUGAGUUAAUCUUAUUGUAGUUAAAAAAAAUCAAAAAUCGUUAGUUACAAUUUUUUUUAUAAACAUUUUUAGUUUAA